GGGGCCGUACUGGAUUUGACAGGGUGAGGCUAGAGUUGUAAGCAUGCAGUGCGUUGUACGAAGAGCACUUUAAAGAUAACGUUCAACUUUAUAAAUGGCGAAAAUAACUACGCCUUAGCAGCCUAAUUUAGAAUUACGCAUGCUUUUGUUCCACUAACUGCUGCAUUGUUAGGUUAGUAUCCGGAGCAUCGAAAUAACAAUGCUGGCUUCUUAGAGGUGCGACUAAGAGGUGAGACAAAGCACCUAAGGUGAAAGAUUAGGUCGGUUUUCAGCCCGUCUUCACUCGAAAAAAAAUUGAAAAAUAAGCAUGUAGAAGGCAAUAUUUAACACACAACUGGACAAGGGUUCGACACCCUUCGGCUCCACAA
This 368-nucleotide transfer-messenger RNA is filed under the name Sphingobacteriaceae. Its description in RNAcentral is "Pedobacter sp004211595 Standard tmRNA". It matches the Rfam family "transfer-messenger RNA". From Rfam's summary of the family: Bacterial tmRNA, also known as 10Sa RNA or SsrA, is named for its dual tRNA and mRNA-like properties. Its role is to liberate the mRNA from a stalled ribosome. To accomplish this part of the tmRNA is used as a reading frame that ends in a translation stop signal. The record is from RNAcentral. Lineage: Bacteria; Pseudomonadati; Bacteroidota; Sphingobacteriia; Sphingobacteriales. RNAcentral also lists the same sequence under 1 other name.